Molecule: ribosomal RNA, 131 nt
Filed under: Vibrio cyclitrophicus
Lineage: Bacteria; Pseudomonadati; Pseudomonadota; Gammaproteobacteria; Vibrionales; Vibrionaceae
Description: partial 23S ribosomal RNA
Rfam family: Bacterial large subunit ribosomal RNA (bases 1-113)
Source: RNAcentral
GCACUAUAAGUGUCCUAAAGGGUUGUCGUAGACUACGACGUUGAUAGGCAGGGUGUGUAAGUGCUGCGAGGCAUUGAGCUAACCUGUACUAAUUGCCCGUGAGGCUUAACCAUACAACACCCAAGGGGUUU